Molecule: ribosomal RNA, 418 nt
Filed under: uncultured bacterium
Lineage: Bacteria
Description: bacterial SSU rRNA
Rfam family: Bacterial small subunit ribosomal RNA
Source: RNAcentral
UGGGGAAGUAUUGCACAAUGGGCGAAAGCCAUGAUGCAGCAACGCCGCGUGAGGGAAGACGGUUUUCGGAUUGUAAACCUCUGUUUUCGGUGACGAACAAAUGACGGUAACCGAGUAGGAAGCCACGGCUAACUACGUGCCAGCAGCCGCGGUAAUACGUAGGUGGCAAGCGUUAUCCGGAAUUACUGGGUGUAAAGGGAGCGCAGGCGGGAUAGCAAGUCAGCUGUGAAAACUAUGGGCUCAACCCAUAAACUGCAGUUGAAACUGUUAUUCUUGAGUGGAGUAGAGGCAAGCGGAAUUCCGAGUGUAGCGGUGAAAUGCGUAGAUAUUCGGAGGAACACCAGUGGCGAAGGCGGCUUGCUGGGCUCUAACUGACGCUGAGGCUCGAAAGUGUGGGGAGCAAACAGGAUUAGAUACC